AAUUCCUUGUCGGGUAAGUUCCGACCUGCACGAAUGGUGUAACGAUCUGGGCACUGUCUCAACCAUGAGCUCGGUGAAAUUGUAGUCUCGGUGAAGAUGCCGGGUACCCGCAACGGGACGAAAAGACCCCGUGCACCUUUACUAUAGCUUCGCAUUGAAUUUGGGUAAAUGAUGUGUAGGAUAGGUGGGAGACGUUGAUCUGGCUUCGCUAGGAGUUAGUUAGUCGUCCUUGAAAUACCACCCUUUAUUUGCUUGAAUUCUAAUCCGCCAAGGGCGGAGACAUUGCGUGGUGGGUAGUUUGACUGGGGUGGUCGCCUCCAAAAGAGUAUCGGAGGCUUCUAAAGGUUCCCUCAGCACGCUUGGUAACCGUGCGUAGAGUGCAAUGGCACAAGGGAGCUUGACUGUGAGACCGACAAGUCGAGCAGGUACGAAAGUAGAGCAUAGUGAUCCGGUGGUUCCGCAUGGAAGGGCCAUCGCUCAACGGAUAAAAGGUACUCUGGGGAUAACAGGCUGAUCUCCCCCAAGAGCUCAUAUCGACGGGGGGGUUUGGCACCUCGAUGUCGGCUCAUCGCAUCCUGGGGCUGGAGAAGGUCCCAAGGGUUGGGCUGUUCGCCCAUUAAAGUGGCAC
Molecule: ribosomal RNA, 628 nt
Filed under: Goniomonas pacifica
Lineage: Eukaryota; Cryptophyceae; Goniomonadida; Goniomonadaceae
Description: partial Bacterial large subunit ribosomal RNA
Rfam family: Bacterial large subunit ribosomal RNA
Source: RNAcentral